UACGUAGGGCGCGAGCGUUGUCCGGAUUUAUUGGGCGUAAAGAGCUCGUAGGCGGCUUGUUGCGUCGACCGUGAAAGCCCCGGGCUCAACCUGGGAAUGGCAAUGGAUACUGGCAGGCUAGAGUGCGGUAGAGGGUAGUGGAAUUCCCGGUGUAGCGGUGAAAUGCGUAGAGAUCGGGAGGAACACCAGUGGCGAAGGCGGCUACCUGGACCAGCACUGACGUUCAGGCACGAAAGCGUGGGGAGCAAACAGG
This 253-nucleotide ribosomal RNA is filed under the name uncultured bacterium. RNAcentral's name for it is "partial 16S ribosomal RNA". It matches the Rfam family "Bacterial small subunit ribosomal RNA", at positions 524 to 776 of the family's 1533-position model. The record is from RNAcentral.